RNAcentral lists this long non-coding RNA (249 nucleotides) under Mytilus galloprovincialis (Mediterranean mussel). Lineage: Eukaryota; Metazoa; Mollusca; Bivalvia; Mytilida; Mytilidae. The record is from RNAcentral.
CACGAUUUUCUAGCAUAGGAAUUUGCCAAAAAAUAGAUGAAAUCAUACCAUAUUGAUUUAUAAAAACAAAAAAGAACACUAGAAUGUAAACAUUUUCAUUUCAAACAUGUGGAAUAGCUAACAAUGAUCCGAUUAUUAACUCGCUUUUAUUAAACAAAAAUAUCCACAAUACCUUAGAACACGAAACAAAACAGGAAAACUAGAGAAUAGAGGCAACAAAAAAAAUAAUACAAGGAUUCGAACCUAAAC